ACGGAUGUUCGGCAUUAUAUGUACGAAAUGGACUACGUUCGGUAAUAAUACCUACCGAACCACUAAGACUAGCAGAACAGUAGCACGAACAGUUAAUUCCCUUAUAAACGUUAUUGUAAUACCCUAGAAGGAGACUGUGGCGAAACCGACCUCGCCACUGGGCAUUGGAGAAGACUGAUUGCCAGCCUCCUGCCAUGUGACUAUGGCCCCUGGGAUGUAUUGCCCUUUAAAGACAUGAUUUGGGCAUAAUGGAUUUGUGUUGUGCUGCUGCUAGCCCUUUUAAGAACCAUCUGGGGACAUACUGUGGAGUUACUGGGUGGCCACCAUUUCCUGUAUCAGAAGCACAUGGUGAGAACAAUGGAUGGCGGACAUUUUAACUCACAGACACUGUGUGGACUUUUCAAUACGGUGCCAUCUCGCCAGUAUUUGUUGCACAGAGACAUCGUGCGGUGGUUUUGGACUAUACAGCAGGGGACACAUUAUACAGUGAUUGUUUUUUAUUUAGCCUGUAUAUGUUCUGCAGAAUCUGCAUUAAACUGUAUUUUCCAAAGUACUGAACGGAUCUGGGUGAAUUUUGGAUAUGUGGUUCACCCAGAUCCCCCAGUUCCAAGGAUAUACGCACAGUCUGAUUCUAUGGAACUAUUCUGGGCAGGAGAAGACCUCCAUGCAAAUCCUGAAUCCCUGAACCGAUCUGGGUGAUUUUUGAAUAUGUUGUUCCCCUAGAUUGGGGCUAACAGGGGAUAUUAUGGGUUUUGGGAGUAUUUUCAGAUUGUAUGAAAAUUGUGAUAUUUUUCGCCUGAUGAUAAUUGAUUAAAGACAGCAGUUGACUCAAUUAUCUCCUAGGUAGAGGGGAGGGAUUGUAUGUCCUGUAUGGGAGUGUCACACUGUUAUGAUUGGUUGAUAAUUUUGUAUCACUGUCCCCACCAAGGUCCACCUGGGUGUAUCCCUUGGCUGGGGAAUUGGAUAAAACUCCAAUCUGGUUACCAUUAAAACAGACCUUCUUCACCCUCAAUCUAGAGUCUUGUCUCUUAUUGGGAAAACUGCUAUAAAGCUAUCACUACUAGCUCGUGUAAGCGCUUCUCUAUUUGGAUGAUUACUUGGAAUGCCGUAAUACCCCUCACACUCGGGAGGACACCCUCUGGCGGUGAAAAUCCCUCUACUCAUCAGGAUAACCGCUACAAUCCCUUUCUGUGAUACCCCAAAUUAUCCACAAGGGGUCACUAUUUAUAGUUACAUAGCUGAAAAGAGACUUGUGUCCAUCAAGUUCAGCUUUCCUCACAUUUGUUUUUUGCUGUUGAUCUAAAAGGCAAAAAAACCCAGUUUGAAGCACUUCCAAUUUGCAACAAGCUAGGAAAAAAAUUCCUUCUUGACCCCAGAAUGGCAGUCAGAUUUAUCCUUGGAUUAAGCAGUUAUUACCCUACAUUGAAAGAUUAUAUUCUUGAUGUGACGAGCGUGGGCUAUAGGCCCAGCCGAGACAGUGGGGAGAGUGUGGAAGUGACAGGGUUAAUGACAUCAUACCCCUGGUUACCUGUUGCUAGUCCCAGCAACCACUCAAUUAACCCCUGCAAUCCCUUCUACACACUUUACUGCCACCACCAAGACUUUAAACCCGGGCGUCUUAGGUUACCCCACACACAGGAGAAUUAUAGUAUCACAGUUCUACUUUUACUGAUAAAACAUAUAUAGUUAACCCCUUUUGGUAACGUGUUUACCUGAGCUUUCCUCUGGAGAGUGAAGCUCAUAGAGAACAAAGACACAAGCUGAUUAAGUAAACAUUUAAUCUGACAAAAAGGAUUCACAGUGCUGAGUACAAAAUCGAGAAAUAAAUGACAUUCAGAUAACAAAUUGCAAAACAG
Non-coding RNA from Pelobates cultripes (western spadefoot toad), 1856 nucleotides. The record is from the annotation of a GenBank genome assembly. NCBI's taxonomy places the organism in Eukaryota, Metazoa, Chordata, Amphibia, Anura, Pelobatidae.